This 193-nucleotide non-coding RNA is filed under the name Desulfosarcina cetonica. Lineage: Bacteria; Pseudomonadati; Thermodesulfobacteriota; Desulfobacteria; Desulfobacterales; Desulfosarcinaceae. The record is from RNAcentral.
UUUCUUCCCACCACGACGGGGGAUUGAACCGGAAGAGCAGAAUAGGGAACCCCGUGGGAAUCGGGGACGGGCCCGCCGCUGUAAUCGGGGACGAACGCCGCAAAAAAAGCCACUGACCGUUUCCAUGGUCGGGAAGGCGCGGUUGUAGAGUGAUCCGUAAGUCAGAAGACCUGCCUGAUCCAAAAUGAGUCGU